AACAACACCCCUCCCCGAUCACCGUCGCUGGGAUCAAGAGCAGCCCCCAUGAAGGAACCUGCAGCACCACUAAAGAAGUCACGAGCACCGCCUCCCAAGCAAAGACAGAGAAAGAAGAAAACAAAGGAGCCUGAAGUGACUCAUAAGUGACUCAUAAGGAACGCUGGGAGGCAAUGAUUCAUGCGGAACAAUGGGCAAAAAUCCAAGGAGAG
This 212-nucleotide long non-coding RNA is filed under the name Setaria italica (foxtail millet). RNAcentral's name for it is "long non-coding RNA (SITA_LNC005940)". The record is from RNAcentral. Lineage: Eukaryota; Viridiplantae; Streptophyta; Magnoliopsida; Poales; Poaceae.